GACGAACGCUGGCGGCGUGCUUAACACAUGCAAGUCGAACGAAGUGGCGAACGGGUGAGUAAUACGUGGGUAACCUGCCAUCCCUUUUGGGAUAAGCCUUGGAAACGGGGUCUAAUACCGAAUAAAGGGGGAUGGGCGCGCGGCCUCUCAGCUUGUUGGUGGGGGGAUGGACUACCAAGGCGGUGACGGGUAGCCUGCUUGAGAGGGUAACCGUCCACAGUGGGACGGAGAUACGGCCCAGAGUCGUACGGGAGGGAGCAGUGGGGGCUAUUGGACAAUGGGCGAAAGCCUGAUGCAGCGACGCCGCGGGGGGGAUGAAGGCUUUUGGGUUGUAAACCUCUUUCGCUAGCGAACGGGUAGGUGGAGAAGAAGCGCCGGCUAACUACGUGCCAGCCGCCGCGGUAAUUC
RNAcentral lists this ribosomal RNA (408 nucleotides) under uncultured bacterium. Its description in RNAcentral is "partial 16S ribosomal RNA". It matches the Rfam family "Bacterial small subunit ribosomal RNA", at positions 28 to 526 of the family's 1533-position model. The record is from RNAcentral.